Molecule: long non-coding RNA, 926 nt
Filed under: Mus musculus (house mouse)
Lineage: Eukaryota; Metazoa; Chordata; Mammalia; Rodentia; Muridae
Description: predicted gene, 33195, transcript variant 8 (Gm33195)
Source: RNAcentral
AGUGCUUUCCUGCGGACGUGCGCUGCUGCCCAGCCUCAGGCUCCAGUCCUGCGCUGGCUGCUGCUGGCUGUCGUCAGCGAUGCCGCCGCCGGCCACAAGGUGGCAGUGCCGUGCUGCGUGGCUACACGCCCCUGGAAGCACCGGACCAGCCUUGGUCUGGCAAAAGUUUUCCAGUCUUUCCAGCAGAUGCGCCCAGGCCGUGAGCCCUCCCGGGCGGCCUGGAGGUGUUCUGAGGAUUGUCUCUAGUUCUGGCGACGUCUUGAAAGAACUGAGUCUGAGCGAGGCAGACAGACGGCAGCAUUAGUGGUGAUGGAGCUGCACUGCUAAAUGUGGAGAUGGGAGGGGAAACACACCUGGGCUUCCACAGGGCAGGAGAAGAUCUGUCACUUGGGCAGAGCCUUUGAGUCGCACUCAGGUGAUCUCCAGGUCUACACUCUCCCACCUGUGCUCCGAGGAGAGGUGUAGACUAUCUCUUGGAUUUUGCUUGGAGGAUGUCCUUUCCGGACUCAGGACCUAGGAGAGACCAGCAGGAAACAGAACAGAGUCUACAUAGGUGAAUAUCAAAGAAUCACCUGGAGAGAUUUACAGAUGUUUGUAGCUGGAGCCUACUCACCUACAGAGACCUCCUACAGAGGGGCUCUGCCCUGGCCUUUUGGGAUUCAGAGCUGAGGCGGGACACAGAGUUCGACAAAGCCAGAAGACUGAUAAUCUCAGACCUAACUGUACUGGGAGCUGGGAGCUGGGAGCUGUUGGCUUCAGGAAACUUAACCCUCUCUUGUUUAUUCUAUGGCCGAAAACUGCUGACUUCUUUUCGCUUUAACUCUGUGCUCUGGAGAAACUUAACUCUUUGUGCUUAAAUAAGCACUGGGGGUCACUUAACUCUUUGUUACUAUUCUGUGCUUUAAUAAACGCUGAGCAUUCUUCAA